AGUCAACCUACCCUAUGGACGGGAAUAACCUCGGGAAACUGAGAAUAAUGCCCGAUAGAACAUUAUGCCUGGAAUGGUUUAUGUUCCAAAUGAUUCAUCGCCGUAGGAUGGGACUGCGGCCUAUCAGUUUGUUGGUGAGGUAAUGGCCCACCAAGACUAUUACAGGUACGGGCUCUGAGAGGAGUAGCCCGGAGAUGGGUACUGAGACACGGACCCAGGCCCUAUGGGGCGCAGCAGGCGAGAAAACUUUGCAAUGUGCGAAAGCACGACAAGGUUAAUCCGAGUGGUUUCUGCUAAAGGAACCUUUUGUCGGUCCUAGAAACACCGAUGAAUAAGGGGUGGGCAAGUUCUGGUGUCAGCCGCCGCGGUAAAACCAGCACCUCAAGUGGUCAGGAUGAUUAUUGGGCCUAAAGCAUCCGUAGCCUGCUUUGUAAGUUUUCGGUUAAAUCCAUGUGCUCAACACAUGGGCUGCCGGGAAUACUGCACAGCUAGGGAGCGGGAGAGGUAGACGGUACUUGAUAGGAAGGGGUAAAAUCCUUUGAUCUAUUGAUGACCACCUGUGGCGAAGGCGGUCUACCAGAACACGUCCGACGGUGAGGGAUGAAGGCUGGGGGAGCAAACCGGAUUAGAUACCCGGGUAGUCCCAGCUGUAAACUAUGCAAACUCAGUGAUGCAUUGGCUUGUGGCUAAUGCAGUGCU
Molecule: ribosomal RNA, 699 nt
Filed under: uncultured marine archaeon
Lineage: Archaea
Description: bacterial SSU rRNA
Rfam family: Archaeal small subunit ribosomal RNA
Source: RNAcentral